RNAcentral lists this ribosomal RNA (208 nucleotides) under uncultured bacterium. Its description in RNAcentral is "partial 16S ribosomal RNA". It matches the Rfam family "Bacterial small subunit ribosomal RNA", at positions 568 to 774 of the family's 1533-position model. The record is from RNAcentral.
UGCGUAGGCGGUUUAUUAAGUCAGAUGUGAAAGCCCCGGGCUUAACCUGGGAACUGCAUUUGAUACUGGUAGACUAGAGUAUGGUAGAGGGGGGUAGAAUUCCUAGUGUAGCGGUGAAAUGCGUAGAUAUUAGGAGGAAUACCAGUGGCGAAGGCGGCCCCCCUGGACCAAUACUGACGCUGAGGUACGAAAGCGUGGGUAGCGAACA